UGUGAACUCGAAGAGUAGGGCGGGACACGUGGUAUCCUGUCUGAAUAUGGGGGGACCAUCCUCCAAGGCUAAAUACUCCUGACUGACCGAUAGUGAACCAGUACCGUGAGGGAAAGGCGAAAAGAACCCCGGCGAGGGGAGUGAAAAAGAACCUGAAACCGUGUACGUACAAGCAGUGGGAGCACCUUCGGGUGUGACUGCGUACCUUUUGUAUAAUGGGUCAGCGACUUAUAUUCUGUAGCAAGGUUAACCGUAUAGGGGAGCCGCAGGGAAACCGAGUCUUAACUGGGCGUUAAGUUGCAGGGUAUAGACCCGAAACCCGGUGAUCUAGCCAUGGGCAGGUUGAAGGUUGGGUAACACUAACUGGAGGACCGAACCGACUAAUGUUGAAAAAUUAGCGGAUGACUUGUGGCUGGGGGUGAAAGGCCAAUCAAACCGGGAGAUAGCUGGUUCUCCCCGAAAGCUAUUUAGGUAGCGCCUCGUGAACUCAUCUUCGGGGGUAGAGCACUGUUUCGGCUAGGGGGUCAUCCCGACUUACCAACCCGAUGCAAACUACGAAUACCGAAGAAUGUUAUCACGGGAGACACACGGCGGGUGCUAACGUCCGUCGUGAAGAGGGAAACAACCCAGACCGCCAGCUAAGGUCCCAAAGUCAUGGUUAAGUGGGAAACGAUGUGGGAAGGCACAGACAGCCAGGAUGUUGGCUUAGAAGCAGCCAUCAUUUAAAGAAAGCGUAAUAGCUCACUGGUCGAGUCGGCCUGCGCGGAAGAUGUAACGGGGCUAAACCAUGCACCGAAGCUGCGGCAGCGACACUAUGUGUUGUUGGGUAGGGGAGCGUUCUGUAAGCCUGCGAAGGUGUGCUGUGAGGCAUGCUGGAGGUAUCAGAAGUGCGAAUGCUGACAUAAGUAACGAUAAAGCGGGUGAAAAGCCCGCUCGCCGGAAGACCAAGGGUUCCUGUCCAACGUUAAUCGGGGCAGGGUGAGUCGACCCCUAAGGCGAGGCCGAAAGGCGUAGUCGAUGGGAAACAGGUUAAUAUUCCUGUACUUGGUGUUACUGCGAAGGGGGGACGGAGAAGGCUAUGUUAGCCGGGCGACGGUUGUCCCGGUUUAAGCAUGUAGGCUGGUUG
RNAcentral lists this ribosomal RNA (1126 nucleotides) under Klebsiella pneumoniae. RNAcentral describes it as "partial 23S ribosomal RNA". It matches the Rfam family "Bacterial large subunit ribosomal RNA", at positions 398 to 1531 of the family's 2925-position model. The record is from RNAcentral. Lineage: Bacteria; Pseudomonadati; Pseudomonadota; Gammaproteobacteria; Enterobacterales; Enterobacteriaceae.